RNAcentral lists this ribosomal RNA (497 nucleotides) under uncultured bacterium. RNAcentral describes it as "partial 16S ribosomal RNA". It matches the Rfam family "Bacterial small subunit ribosomal RNA", at positions 28 to 507 of the family's 1533-position model. The record is from RNAcentral.
GAUGAACGCUGGCGGCGUGCCUAAUACAUGCAAGUCGAGCGAACGGACGAGAAGCUUGCUUCUCUGAUGUUAGCGGCGGACGGGUGAGUAACACGUGGAUAACCUACCUAUAAGACUGGGAUAACUUCGGGAAACCGGAGCUAAUACCGGAUAAUAUUUUGAACCGCAUGGUUCAAAAGUGAAAGACGGUCUUGCUGUCACUUAUAGAUGGAUCUGCGCUGCAUUAGCUAGUUGGUAAGGUCACGGCUUACCAAGGCAACUAUGCAUAGCCGACCUGAGAGGGUGAUCGGCCACACUGGAACUGGAACACGGUCCAGACGCCUACGGGAGGCAGCAGUAGGGAAUCUUCCGCAAUGGGCGAAAGCCUGACGGAGCAACGCCGCGUGAGUGAUGAAGGUCUUCGGAUCGUAAAACUCUGUUAUUAGGGAAGAACAUAUGUGUAAGUAACUGUGCACAUCUUGACGGUACCUAAUCAGAAAGCCACGGCUAACUACGUG